This 434-nucleotide ribosomal RNA is filed under the name uncultured Clostridium sp. RNAcentral describes it as "partial 16S ribosomal RNA". It matches the Rfam family "Bacterial small subunit ribosomal RNA", at positions 341 to 792 of the family's 1533-position model. Lineage: Bacteria; Bacillati; Bacillota; Clostridia; Eubacteriales; Clostridiaceae. The record is from RNAcentral. RNAcentral also lists the same sequence under 1 other name.
ACGGAAGGCAGCAGUGGGGAAUAUUGCACAAUGGGCGCAAGCCUGAUGCAGCGAUGCCGCGUGAGGGAAGAAGGUUUUCGGAUUGUAAACCUCUGUCAACAGGGACGAAAAUGACGGUACCUGACUAAGAAGCCCCGGCUAACUACGUGCCAGCAGCCGCGGUAAUACGUAGGGGGCAAGCGUUAUCCGGAUUUACUGGGUGUAAAGGGAGCGUAGACGGUUUGGCAAGUCUGAAGUGAAAUGCGGGGGCUCAACUCCUGAACUGCUUUGGAAACUGUCGAACUAGAGUGCAGGAGAGGUAAGUGGAAUUCCUAGUGUAGCGGUGAAAUGCGUAGAUAUUAGGAGGAACACCAGUGGCGAAGGCGGCUUACUGGACUGUAACUGACGUUGAGGCUCGAAAGCGUGGGGAGCAAACAGGAUUAGAUACCCUGGUA